RNAcentral lists this ribosomal RNA (1127 nucleotides) under Clostridioides difficile. RNAcentral's name for it is "partial 23S ribosomal RNA". It matches the Rfam family "Bacterial large subunit ribosomal RNA", at positions 398 to 1533 of the family's 2925-position model. The record is from RNAcentral. Lineage: Bacteria; Bacillati; Bacillota; Clostridia; Peptostreptococcales; Peptostreptococcaceae.
AGAUAUGAUCCAGAGUACCACGGGACACGUGAAACCCUGUGGGAAGCAGGAGGGACCACCCUCCAAGGCUAAAUACUACCUAGUGACCGAUAGCGUAUAGUACCGUGAGGGAAAGGUGAAAAGAACCCCGGGAGGGGAGUGAAAUAGAACCUGAAACCCUGCACUUACAAGCUGUGGAAGCACAUUUCUUGUGUGACCGCGUACUUUUUGUAGAACGGGCCAACGAGUUACGUUAAGUAGCAAGGUUAAGCACUUAAGGUGCGGAGCCGUAGCGAAAGCGAGUUUUAACUGAGCGUUCAGUUACUUGACGUAGACCCGAAACCGGGCGACCUACCCAUGAGCAGGAUGAAGCGAAAGUAAAAUUUCGUGGAGGUCCGAACCCACGAGCGUUGAAAAGCUCGGGGAUGACUUGUGGGUAGCGGUGAAAUUCCAAUCGAGCCCGGAGAUAGCUGGUUCUCCCCGAAAUAGCUUUAGGGCUAGCCUCAAGGUGAGAGAUACGGAGGUAGAGCACUGAAUGUCCUAGGGGGUAUUGCACCUACCGAAGACUAUCAAACUCCGAAUGCCGUCAUCUUAUACUUGGGAGUCAGACUGUGGGUGAUAAGAUUCAUAGUCGAAAGGGCAACAGCCCAGAUCGUCAGCUAAGGUCCCUAAAUGUAAGUUAAGUGGUAAAGGAUGUGGGAUUGCACAGACAACCAGGAUGUUGGCUUAGAAGCAGCCACUCAUUCAAAGAGUGCGUAAUAGCUCACUGGUCGAGUGAUCCUGCGCCGAAGAUUUCCGGGGCUAAAACUUACUACCGAAGCUACGGCAUCAGUAAUGAUGGGUAGGGGAGCUUCCCAUACGGGUUGAAGCAUGACCGUAAGGACAUGUGGACAGUAUGGGAGUGAGAAUGUUGGCAUGAGUAGCGAGAUGUGGGUGAGAAUCCCACAGGCCGUAAACCCAAGGUUUCCAGGGGAAGGUUCGUCCGCCCUGGGUUAGUCGGGACCUAAGCUGAGGCCGAAAGGCGUAGGUGAUGGACAACAGGUUGAUAUUCCUGUACUACCGAUAACCGUUUGAGAGAAGGGAUGACACAGUAGGAUAAGCUAAGCACACUGUUGGUUAUGUGUGCCCAAGCAUUGAGGCAGUCAAAG